RNAcentral lists this ribosomal RNA (447 nucleotides) under uncultured bacterium. Its description in RNAcentral is "bacterial SSU rRNA". It matches the Rfam family "Bacterial small subunit ribosomal RNA", at positions 355 to 825 of the family's 1533-position model. The record is from RNAcentral.
UGGGGAAUAUUGGACAAUGGGCGCAAGCCUGAUCCAGCCAUGCCGCGUGAGUGACGAAGGCCUUAGGGUUGUAAAGCUCUUUUGGCGGGGACGAUAAUGACGGUACCCGCAGAAUAAGCCCCGGCUAACUUCGUGCCAGCAGCCGCGGUAAUACGAAGGGGGCUAGCGUUGUUCGGAAUUACUGGGCGUAAAGCGCACGUAGGCGGAUUUGUCAGUCAGGGGUGAAAUCCCGAGGCUCAACCUCGGAACUGCCUCCGAUACAGCAAGUCUCGAGUCCGGAAGAGGUGAGUGGAAUUCCUAGUGUAGAGGUGAAAUUCGUAGAUAUUAGGAAGAACACCAGUGGCGAAGGCGGCUCACUGGUCCGGUACUGACGCUGAGGUGCGAAAGCGUGGGGAGCAAACAGGAUUAGAUACCCCCGUAGUCCCUGAGCGGGCUGGCAAGGCGCAU